RNAcentral lists this long non-coding RNA (353 nucleotides) under Pan troglodytes (chimpanzee). RNAcentral's name for it is "lincRNA". The record is from RNAcentral. Lineage: Eukaryota; Metazoa; Chordata; Mammalia; Primates; Hominidae.
GAACGGUGUCCGAUCCGCACGGCGGCGUCCUGGGGGGUCCACUGUGAGGACGGAGCUUCCUCUCCUCAGGACCCACCCAGGAGGGGCCGGGGCUUGGGACACCUGGGGCCGCGUCCGGUGUGAGGACUAGGAGACUUGCUGCAGCUCCGGGACACCUGGGGCCGCCGAGGCAAAGGGGUAAAUCUUUUCAAGACACUAAAACAGGUGACUCAGCCCUGUGAGCUCUGUGCCUGACAUGACCCAAACGGCCAGCAAUUUUCUCCUGCAGUUAAACCUGUCCAAAAUUGAGGAACCUAUCCAGUUUCAGCUCAGCUAGGAAUUUAGUCUUUCUAAAGACGUGGGAGGAAGUUCUC